This 1195-nucleotide ribosomal RNA is filed under the name uncultured bacterium. RNAcentral describes it as "bacterial SSU rRNA". It matches the Rfam family "Bacterial small subunit ribosomal RNA", at positions 87 to 1289 of the family's 1533-position model. The record is from RNAcentral.
GAUGGCGACCGGCGCACGGGUGAGUAACACGUAUCCAACCUGCCGAUGACUCGGGGAUAGCCUUUCGAAAGAAAGAUUAAUACCCGAUGGCAUAGUUCUUCCGCAUGGUAGAACUAUUAAAGAAUUUCGGUCAUCGAUGGGGAUGCGUUCCAUUAGGUUGUUGGCGGGGUAACGGCCCACCAAGCCUUCGAUGGAUAGGGGUUCUGAGAGGAAGGUCCCCCACAUUGGAACUGAGACACGGUCCAAACUCCUACGGGAGGCAGCAGUGAGGAAUAUUGGUCAAUGGACGAGAGUCUGAACCAGCCAAGUAGCGUGAAGGAUGACUGCCCUAUGGGUUGUAAACUUCUUUUAUACGGGAAUAAAGUGAGGCACGUGUGCCUUUUUGUAUGUACCGUAUGAAUAAGGAUCGGCUAACUCCGUGCCAGCAGCCGCGGUAAUACGGAGGAUCCGAGCGUUAUCCGGAUUUAUUGGGUUUAAAGGGAGCGUAGGCGGACGCUUAAGUCAGUUGUGAAAGUUUGCGGCUCAACCGUAAAAUUGCAGUUGAUACUGGGUGUCUUGAGUACAGUAGAGGCAGGCGGAAUUCGUGGUGUAGCGGUGAAAUGCUUAGAUAUCACGAAGAACUCCGAUUGCGAAGGCAGCUUGCUGGACUGUAACUGACGCUGAUGCUCGAAAGUGUGGGUAUCAAACAGGAUUAGAUACCCUGGUAGUCCACACAGUAAACGAUGAAUACUCGCUGUUUGCGAUAUACAGUAAGCGGCCAAGCGAAAGCGUUAAGUAUUCCACCUGGGGAGUACGCCGGCAACGGUGAAACUCAAAGGAAUUGACGGGGGCCCGCACAAGCGGAGGAACAUGUGGUUUAAUUCGAUGAUACGCGAGGAACCUUACCCGGGCUUGAAUUGCAACUGAAUGAUGUGGAGACAUGUCAGCCGCAAGGCAGUUGUGAAGGUGCUGCAUGGUUGUCGUCAGCUCGUGCCGUGAGGUGCCGGCUUAAGUGCCAUAACGAGCGCAACCCUUAUCGAUAGUUACCAUCAGUUAUGCUGGGGACUCUGUCGAGACUGCCGUCGUAAGAUGUGAGGAAGGUGGGGAUGACGUCAAAUCAGCACGGCCCUUACGUCCGGGGCUACACACGUGUUACAAUGGGGGGUACAGAAGGCAGCUACACGGCGACGUGAUGCUAAUCCCGAAAGCCUCUCUC